Molecule: ribosomal RNA, 433 nt
Filed under: uncultured bacterium
Lineage: Bacteria
Description: partial 16S ribosomal RNA
Rfam family: Bacterial small subunit ribosomal RNA
Source: RNAcentral
AACGAACGCUGGCGGCAUGCCUAACACAUGCAAGUCGAACGAGACCUUCGGGUCUAGUGGCGCACGUGUGCGUAACGCGUGGGAACCUGCCCUUAGGUUCGGAAUAACUCCCCGAAAGGGGUGCUAAUACCGGAUAAUGUCUUCGGACCAAAGAUUUAUCGCCUUUGGAUGGGCCCGCGUUGGAUUAGCUAGUUGGUAGGGUAAAAGCCUACCAAGGCGACGAUCCAUAGCUGGUCUGAGAGGAUGAUCAGCCACACUGGGACUGAGACACGGCCCAGACUCAUACGGGAGGCAGCAGUGGGGAAUAUUGGACAAUGGGCGAAAGACUGAUCCAGCAAUGCCGCGUGAGUGAUGAAGGCCUUAGGGUUGUAAAGCUCUUUUACCCGGGAUGAUAAUGACAGUACCGGGAGAAUAAGCGCCGGCUAACUCCGUG